CCCAAUUUCCCCUCUAAAACCCCAAUCCCGAUAACGGACAAAAAGAACAGCUCCACCCAAAUUCCAAGAUGCUUGCGAUGUUGCGAUCGCAAGAAGCCAGUGGAGAACGUUAGGGUUUGGUUAAAGGGGGAAAAGGGACAGUGCUAAUUCAUUAUGCGAGAACUUGGAGCUACAUAUCUCUUGAAGAUAAACUUGGAGAUCCUGGGUGACGCACGAUCAGCAUGUCCCAGAGAUGGAGCCUAUAAAUACAAUUUGUUUUGCUGUCCCAGCUAUUUCACAGCUCACAGAAGGCUGAAAUCCAAAGAUGUUGUUCUCAUACACUGAAGACACUGGGUCAGGUGUCUUGAACUACUCAUGAAAAUGCAUGUGCAAAUGCUGCGGGGGAUUGUGGUCCCACCCACUUGAGAAACGAACCUUCAUGAGGCAAGAACACGUGACGUCUUUUUGGUGUUAUUUUGAGACGACGUCGGCCAAUAAAUUUCUUCGAAAUUUCACAUACGAUCAAGGAGGCGAGGACUACAACUGUAUCGGAUUCGGUACUGGAGCCUAAACAAAAUUUUCUAUACGGUAAGUUGUUCGAAUUGAAAACAACGUUAUCUUUGGGGCAAGUUCUGGUCUGAGUUAUCAACUUACCACGAAUGAUGCUCCUAUUUUUGGCGGCGAGGAACUCUUUUUUUCUUUUUUUUUUUAAAUCCAGCAACAAUGAAAACUUUGUUAGGGGACUUCUGCACCCAAGGGAGAGCCGGAGUUGGAGCACUCGCACCAUUAGAAAGGCUCAAUCUUUUCAAGAAAAUCCCUAGGAAUUGGAGCACACCUCAUAUAUCCAUAUGCCAAUAUGAAAAAAAAAACCCGACAAGAGUAUUUGAACUUUGGACCAUUGAUCAUGUACGUAUGAUGUUAUUGGACAGUAAAUAUAUACGGUUGGAAGUUGGAACCCUACUGAUUUUAUUUGA
Asparagus officinalis (garden asparagus) is the source of this 953-nucleotide long non-coding RNA. RefSeq lists it as uncharacterized. The record is from RefSeq and is a predicted model, not a curated record. The transcript has 6 exons. Lineage: Eukaryota; Viridiplantae; Streptophyta; Magnoliopsida; Asparagales; Asparagaceae.